GGGUUAAGUCCCGCAACGAGCGCAACCCUUGUUCUGUGUUGCCAGCAUGCCCUUCGGGGUGAUGGGGACUCACAGGAGACUGCCGGGGUCAACUCGGAGGAAGGUGGGGACGACGUCAAGUCAUCAU
Molecule: ribosomal RNA, 127 nt
Filed under: Streptomyces sp. FT05W
Lineage: Bacteria; Bacillati; Actinomycetota; Actinomycetes; Kitasatosporales; Streptomycetaceae
Description: partial 16S ribosomal RNA
Rfam family: Bacterial small subunit ribosomal RNA
Source: RNAcentral